AGUGGGAUAGCUGGGUCAAAUGGUGGUCCCAUUUCCCAUUUUCGGAGGAAGCUCCUUAGCUUUCCAGAGUGGUUGUACCAAUUUGCAUUCCCACCAGCAGU
Molecule: microRNA precursor, 101 nt
Filed under: Marmota monax (woodchuck)
Lineage: Eukaryota; Metazoa; Chordata; Mammalia; Rodentia; Sciuridae
Source: RNAcentral